This 105-nucleotide ribosomal RNA is filed under the name Sinocyclocheilus anshuiensis. Lineage: Eukaryota; Metazoa; Chordata; Actinopteri; Cypriniformes; Cyprinidae. The record is from RNAcentral.
GUUCAGGUCGCAGUCUCCUCUGGAGGCGUGGCGGAAGCUAAGCAGGGUCGGGCCUGGUUAGUACUUGGAUGGGAGACCGCCUGGGAAUACCAGGUGCUUUAAGCU